RNAcentral lists this ribosomal RNA (460 nucleotides) under uncultured bacterium. RNAcentral describes it as "partial 16S ribosomal RNA". It matches the Rfam family "Bacterial small subunit ribosomal RNA", at positions 338 to 795 of the family's 1533-position model. The record is from RNAcentral.
CCUACGGGGGGCAGCAGUGAGGAAUAUUGGUCAAUGGGCGCGAGCCUGAACCAGCCAAGUAGCGUGAAGGAUGACUGCCCUACGGGUUGUAAACCUCUUUUGCCGGGGAGCAACGGGCGCCACGUGUGGCGUCCCUGAGAGUCCCCGGAGAAAAAGCAUCGGCUAACUCCUUGCCAGCAGCCGCGUUAAUACGGAGGAUGCGAGCGUUAUCCGGAUUUAUGGGGUUUAAGGGGUGCGUAGGCGGAUCGUUAAGUCAGUGGUCAAAUUGAGGGGCUCAACCCCUUCCCGCCAUUGAAACUGGCGUUCUUGAGUGGAAGAGAAGUAGGCGGAAUGCGUGGUGUAGCGGUGAAAUGCAUAGAUAUCACGCAGAACCCCGAUUGCGAAGGCAGCAUGCCGGCUUCCGACUGACGCUGAAGCACGAAAGCGUGGGGAUCGAACAGGAUUAGAUACCCGAGUAGUC